UNGGAGAGGAAAGUGGAAUUCCUAGUGUAGCGGUGAAAUGCGUAGAUAUUAGGAAGAACACCAGUGGCGAAGGCGACUUUCUGGACGAAAACUGACGCUGAGGCGCGAAAGCCAGGGGAGCGAACGGGAUUAGAUACCCCGGUAGCCCUGGCCGUAAACGACGGGUACUAGGUGUAGGAGGUAUCGACCCCUUCUGUGCCGGAGUUAACGCAAUAAGUACCCCGCCUGGGGAGUACGACCGCAAGGUUGAAACUCAAAGGAAUUGACGGGGGCCCGCACAAGCGGUGGAGUAUGUGGUUUAAUUCGACGCAACGCGAAGAACCUUACCAGGUCUUGACAUUGAUGGACAGAACCAGAGAUGGUUCCUCUUCUUCGGAAGCCAGAAAACAGGUGGUGCACGGUUGUCGUCAGCUCGUGUCGUGAGAUGUUGGGUUAAGUCCCGCAACGAGCGCAACCCCUAUCUUAUGUUGCCAGCACUUCGGGUGGGAACUCAUGAGAGACUGCCGCAGACAAUGCGGAGGAAGGCGGGGAUGACGUCAAAUCAUCAUGCCCCUUAUGACCUGGGCUACACACGUACUACAAUGGGAGUUAAUAGACGGAAGCGAGAUCGCGAGAUGGAGCAAACCCGAGAAACACUCUCUCAGUUCGGAUCGUAGGCUGCAACUCGCCUACGUGAAGUCGGAAUCGCUAGUAAUCGCAGGUCAGCAUACUGCGGUGAAUACGUUCCCGGGCCUUGUACACACCGCCCGUCACACCACGAAAGUCGGAAGUGCCCAAAGCC
Molecule: ribosomal RNA, 781 nt
Filed under: uncultured bacterium
Lineage: Bacteria
Description: bacterial SSU rRNA
Rfam family: Bacterial small subunit ribosomal RNA
Source: RNAcentral